Long non-coding RNA from Fukomys damarensis (Damara mole-rat), 478 nucleotides. RefSeq lists it as uncharacterized. The transcript has 3 exons. The record is from RefSeq and is a predicted model, not a curated record. NCBI's taxonomy places the organism in Eukaryota, Metazoa, Chordata, Mammalia, Rodentia, Bathyergidae.
UCACAUACGGGACCUGGAACCCUCUGGCGCUGUUCCCUUCGUUGGACUUAAACUGAAUCCACAGCUUCUUUGACCUGGAGGUCCAAGUGUCAAGGGAACCCAGGACAGAACUUCUAAGUCCAUCGAAGGUGGAAGAACAGAGCUCACUGCUGCAUAGAGUACUCGACCAAAAACUUUGCUGAAGAUAAAACAAACAUCUUUUUUGCUGUUUUCUCUCUCAGGCCCAGCCUUCUCUUCCCGGACGCCUUUCUCUUUCCUGAGUCUGAGCUUCCCUCAAGCUGCUCUCUUGGCAGGAAGCUCUUCCCACCCUGCCCGACCCUCUCCAAUAACCUUCCAAGCCCUGCAGAGGCCUUUCCUCACAGUCUAUGGCUCCUUCCUCUGCCGCCGCCGGCCUGGCUCGCUGACUGACUCAGCAGGUCCUCACACAAUGGGUGCUGAUCAAGGCUGAACUGGAACUGUGUCCCAGCAAGGACCUUAA